GCUGACGACAAUAGCGCGAUGGCCCCACCUGAUCCCUUCCCGAACUCAGAAGUGAAACAUCGUUGCGCCAAUGGUAGUGUGG
This 82-nucleotide ribosomal RNA is filed under the name Psychrobacter sp. NG25. Lineage: Bacteria; Pseudomonadati; Pseudomonadota; Gammaproteobacteria; Moraxellales; Moraxellaceae. The record is from RNAcentral.